GGUUAAGCGACUAAGCGUACACGGUGGAUGCCCUGGCAGUCAGAGGCGAUGAAGGGCGUGCUAAUCUGCGAUAAGCGCCGGUAAGGUGAUAUGAACCGCAAUAACCGGCGAUACCCGAAUGGGGAAACCCAGUGUGACUCGUCACACUAUCAUGCAGUGAAUACAUAGCUGUAUGAGGCGAACCGGGGGAACUGAAACAUCUAAGUACCCCGAGGAAAAGAAAUCAACCGAGAUUCCCCCAGUAGCGGCGAGCGAACGGGGAGGAGCCCAGAACCAUCAUCAGCUUGUGCAUCAGUGGAAGCGUCUGGAAAGUCGCAGGGUACAGGGUGAUACUCCCGUACACAAAGGUGCACAGGCUGUGAGUUCGAUGAGUAAGGCGGGACACGUGGUAUCCUGUCUGAAUAUGGGGGGACCAUCCUCCAAGGCUAAAUACUCCUGACUGACCGAUAGUGAACCAGUACCGUGAGGGAAAGGCGAAAAGAACCCCGGCGAGGGGAGUGAAACAGAACCUGAAACCGUGUACGUACAAGCAGUGGGAGCCUCUUUAUGGGGUGACUGCGUACCUUUUGUAUAAUGGGUCAGCGACUUAUAUUCUGUAGCAAGGUUAACCGUAUAGGGGAGCCGCAGGGAAACCGAGUCUUAACUGGGCGUUAAGUUGCAGGGUAUAGACCCGAAACCCGGUGAUCUAGCCAUGGGCAGGUUGAAGGUUGGGUAACACUAACUGGAGGACCGAACCGACUAAUGUUGAAAAAUUAGCGGAUGACCUGUGGCUGGGGGUGAAAGGCCAAUCAAACCGGGAGAUAGCUGGUUCUCCCCGAAAGCUAUUUAGGUAGCGCCUCGUGAACUCAUCUCCGGGGGUAGAGCACUGUUUCGGCUAGGGGGCCAUCCCGGCUUACCAACCCGAUGCAAACUGCGAAUACCGGAGAAUGUUAUCACGGGAGACACACGGCGGGUGCUAACGUCCGUCGUGAAGAGGGAAACAACCCAGACCGCCAGCUAAGGUCCCAAAGUCAUGGUUAAGUGGGAAACGAUGUGGGAAGGCCCAGACAGCCAGGAUGUUGGCUUAGAAGCAGCCAUCAUUUAAAGAAAGCGUAAUAGCUCACUGGUCGAGUCGGCCUGCGCGGAAGAUGUAACGGGGCUAAACCAUGCACCGAAGCUGCGGCAGCGACGCUUAUGCGUUGUUGGGUAGGGGAGCGUUCUGUAAGCCGUCGAAGGUGUGCUGUGAGGCAUGCUGGAGGUAUCAGAAGUGCGAAUGCUGACAUAAGUAACGAUAAACAAGGUGAAAAACCUUGUCGCCGGAAGACCAAGGGUUCCUGUUCAACGUUAAUCGGAGCAGGGUGAGUCGACCCCUAAGGCGAGGCCGAAAGGCGUAGUCGAUGGGAAACAGGUUAAUAUUCCUGUACUUGGUGUUACUGCGAAGGGGGGACGGAGAAGGCUAUAUCGGCCGGGCGACGGUUGUCCCGGUUUAAGCGUGUAGGUGUGUGUUCCAGGCAAAUCCGGUUCACUUUACACUGAGGCGUGACGACGAGGCACUACGGUGCUGAAGUGAUAAAUGCCCUGCUUCCAGGAAAAGCCUCUAAGCAUCAGGUAACACAAAAUCGUACCCCAAACCGACACAGGUGGUCAGGUAGAGAAUACCAAGGCGCUUGAGAGAACUCGGGUGAAGGAACUAGGCAAAAUGGUGCCGUAACUUCGGGAGAAGGCACGCUGGCGCGUAGGUGAAGGGACUUGCUCCCGGAGCCGAAGCCAGUCGAAGAUACCAGCUGGCUGCAACUGUUUAUUAAAAACACAGCACUGUGCAAACACGAAAGUGGACGUAUACGGUGUGACGCCUGCCCGGUGCCGGAAGGUUAAUUGAUGGGGUUAUCCGCAAGGAGAAGCUCUUGAUCGAAGCCCCGGUAAACGGCGGCCGUAACUAUAACGGUCCUAAGGUAGCGAAAUUCCUUGUCGGGUAAGUUCCGACCUGCACGAAUGGCGUAAUGAUGGCCAGGCUGUCUCCACCCGAGACUCAGUGAAAUUGAAAUCGCUGUGAAGAUGCAGUGUACCCGCGGCAAGACGGAAAGACCCCGUGAACCUUUACUACAGCUUGACACUGAACACUGAGCCUUGAUGUGUAGGAUAGGUGGGAGGCUUUGAAGCGUGGACGCCAGUCUGCGUGGAGCCG
This 2164-nucleotide ribosomal RNA is filed under the name Pantoea ananatis. Its description in RNAcentral is "partial 23S ribosomal RNA". It matches the Rfam family "Bacterial large subunit ribosomal RNA", at positions 1 to 2188 of the family's 2925-position model. Lineage: Bacteria; Pseudomonadati; Pseudomonadota; Gammaproteobacteria; Enterobacterales; Erwiniaceae. The record is from RNAcentral.